UGCCGAAGAGGUGGUUGCACUAGGAAACGUGGUUGUUGGGUGGACUGAGAGAAUUGGACCAUAAGCUGUGCAUCUGAAGGUAAAAACCUCGGGAACAAAUUUUGUAAAUUCUCAAAUUAUUAUUUAAGAUGAUCAUAAGCUUAGUCAGAAGCUUGCAUCAGCUGAUCAUAACCUAUUGGAUGUAGAUGAUUGUGGUUCAAUGUAGCUCAUCAUAACCCUUUCAUUCUUUCUCUUUUUCCAGAAUAACCCCUGGUCAAAGAGGGCCAAUUGGACAAAGCUGAGGUGCCCUAAGUGCAGCUAGCGAAAUGCACCAUUUUGAAACCCUGAGUUAAUUGAAACGCAACAUUUUUGGAGUGCAGAGGUAGCUGAUUGAAGGUUGGAUGCGACAAGGGGCUUCAACAAAAUUCUUUCCCAAAUUGAACCCUCGAGCUACGGUUCGAAGAAGCUCUAAAGGAAGAAGUGCACUAAGGUGGUUCAGUUCUUUCUCCUUUUUUCGCUUUCUAGUUUAGUAGAAAGUUCUGUUAGAGAUUAGAGUCUCGGUUAGUUCAGUUCUUUUAGGGGGAUUUCUUAUUCCCAGAUUUUAGCUUCUGAUUGUUGAUUAGAAUUAGAUAACAGAGUAGUUCUUUCUCCAUAUUUUCGAAUUCAGUGCUUCUUUCUUCAUUAGAAUCAGAGUAGAGAGUGAUUUUUGGAUCUUCUUCUUUGGAGAUUGCUGAAGGAUUCUCACUAGCACAAAAAGGUCGUGAACUUUUCUUUAGAGUAUUUCUGGUACCCUUUUGUAACUCAAUUGUUGAUUCAAAUAAAACUCUGAAGUUUCUUUUGUUUUUUUGUUUGUUCAAGAUUUACGGUUCUGCUCUUUACUUUCUUUUCUUGCAUGAUUCUUUAUUUUUUAGCACUUGUUUAUUACCAUUUUAAGUUCAGGGAUUGUAUUUUGGUUCCUUUGAUCAUAGCUGUUGUGUUCGUUGUAUCCUUGAUAUGUUUCUGAUUUGAUUGAUUGAAAUUAGACUAGGAUUUACUUGUUGCACACUCGGGUAUGUGGGAUUGUUUGUUUUGGUUAAUCUGAUACUUUAGUCACCAUGAUUUGUGCAUUAUAGUUGUUGUAGUAUGAGCAUAAUGCAGACUUGAGAUUUUGAACUUUUGAGAGUUUGAAGGCGAACCUACACCUUUAUGUGUCUGAAUUAGAUGCUAUAGGACCCCAAAGUGGGUCUGAUUCCAUCAAGAUGUCUUCAUGAGACAGGUUGGGCUUCAGAUUACCAAAUAGGUUAAUUCCCAGUUCUGCAUUUGCUUUGCUUCUUAGGAUUCUACUUGUAUCUUUGUAAUUGGUUUCUCUGCAGAGUGUAGUGUAGUAAGCAAUGUUCUUGGCAGCUUUGAGUCUUGCAAAUAUGAUAGGUUCCUGGAUAGGGAACCUAAUCAAGAACUUGCUUUUUGACACAAAACGACGCAAGGUAUGAAUGAAACUGUGUAGUAUUGACAAAAAGAAUGUUUGUACAACAAGAAAGUAGAGGCUUAACCCUCUCCAUAGGUCAAUACCUGUUUUACAAUCCAAUCCCCAAAAGUACCUCCCCACUAACUAAUCCUCUAUUUAUAACUACCUCACCUGCCCCUCCUUAACUGUUGUAAGCAAUUAAGAGAUAACAGCUAGUUAGUUAGCCUUCUUUCUUCUCUCGUACACUAUCCAUCUCUGCCUAUUCCUUUCAGACCUAUCAAUACCCUCCGCCUGAAACUCAACCUUGUCCCCAAGGUUGAAAUCGGGGUAUUGCUCCCGGAUGGUCACUUCAUCCUCCCAAGUUGCCCCAUCUGGACCCCCUUCUUGCCACUCUAUCAAAAGUUGUGGCACGGUCUUCUUUCCUUGUUGUGCUUGCCUUCUUCCAAGGACACCCAUUGGCCAAAAUGACGGCCCUUCUGCCUGCAAGUCUCACAGCAACUCCUUCUCUACUCUUUGCUCGCCUAUAGCCCUUUUCAGUUGUGACACGUGAAAAAUAGGGUGCAUCCGUGCCAUAUCUAGCAGCUGCAGCUUGUAAGCUACCUCCCCCACCCUCUGGAUGAUCUUAAAUAGCCCGAAAUAUCUCGCUGCCAACUUUGGGUGAAGCCUAGUUGGCAUUGAAGUCUGCCUAUGGUGCCUUAUCCUUAGAUAAACCCAAUCUCCUACCUCCAUACUCGCUGGUUUCCUAUUUUUGUUGGCUUGCCGCCCCAUCAACUCCUGUGCCCUCUCCAGAUGGAACCUCAACUGCCUCAAGGCUUCAUCUCGGGUCUGAAGCUCUUGACUCACUGCCUCUACUAACGUUUCGCCUGGAAUGAAUCUAUGCAACGAGGGGGGCCGUCUCCCAUAAACUGUCUCAAACAGAGUGCACUUUAUAGCUCCUUGAUAGCUGGUAUUGUACCAAUACUCAGCCCAAGGUAAGACUGUCAUGGGUGGUAUGCGGUGCUCAUCUUCAACUAUUUGGAAUAGGACAACAUCUACCACAACUAAAACAACCUCUAACAUAACUAAGACAACUACAAAGUACAUUUCUUUCAACUACUAUUUUCACAUUUUACGAUCUUCACAUUUUGUCUAUCCAUCAAUUAUUCCUUUUAUAACCUCAAAAUACUAAUAGUUCUUUAAAGUCAAUACAAAGAUCAUAAAUAUGAAGCUGAACAACAUUGUUAAGUAUAUUCACUCAAGGAAAGGAAUUUAGCAGCAGUAGCAACAAAGAGGGUCUCGAUCUGAUUAGGUUUCUAAUAAGAAGGAACGCAACAUGGAGACUAAAGGGAGAACUGAUUAAAGACAAAGAAUUGAAAAGUUUCCAUGCGAAGAUUCAUGUGUAUGAAAGGAGGAAGCAAAAGCAUUGGUGUGAAACAGCUGGUUCAACAAGUGUAAAGCUAUCAUCAAUGCAGAUUGAUCCAAAGUAACAAAAUCACUCGAGGAAUAAUUGUAAAAUGGAUGAGGACUCAGCAUAAAAUCAAGGGUUAUGAAGGGAAAUUGUUGAGCAGAGGAAAGAUUGCAAUGGCCGAUAUACAGUAGAAUGUAUAAGUGUUUACAUAUGAGAAAAAGUUCAUAUUUAACAGCUGAAAAAGUGCAGAGAAGCAAAGCUCCAAAGAUCUUAGGUCUUCAAACUAGAAUAAUCGAGUUCAAAUUGAGACAGAGAAAAAUGAAUACGUGGGCAUUAAGAGGAAGAGGAGCUUUUGGAUUUUCAUCGAAUUCAGCUGUGAGUCUAUGUCACUGUUACUGUGCAUUAAGUGGUAUCGAUGCUGUGAGUCAUGAAGAUAGAUUGAAGAACAUAUAUGACAUGAUGUUAUGCAUACAAACAUUCCUUACAUAAACUUAUCUGGAUUAUCGUUAGAUAGAACUAUGAUAUUAUUUUAACUUCUCUAUUGUUCAUACAACCCUUAUAACUGGUGCGAAUACAUUUUUUUUCGUAAUUUUAAUAAGUUCAAUUAGGAUGCUCUAUUUUCAUGUUAUCUCUGUUGGACUUUCCUUCAAGUUUUCGAGCAAAGAAGUCCUUAAAAUACUGAUUAACUCUGAUACUCUUGAACUGUGGUGGUAUUUGAUCAGUUAUCAAACGUGGUGAAGGACCUAUGACAGCAUCUUCUCUAGGGCUAUAGAAUGUUGCAAAUGAAAGUCUUUCCUUCUCAGAAUUCACUGUUGCUCGAUGCUCAACACNNNN
This 3644-nucleotide long non-coding RNA is filed under the name Vigna radiata. RNAcentral describes it as "long non-coding RNA (VRAD_LNC004134)". Lineage: Eukaryota; Viridiplantae; Streptophyta; Magnoliopsida; Fabales; Fabaceae. The record is from RNAcentral.